GCUCAGAUUGAACGCUGGCGGCAGGCCUAACACAUGCAAGUCGAACGGUAACAGGAAACAGCUUGCUGUUUCGCUGACGAGUGGCGGACGGGUGAGUAAUGUCUGGGAAACUGCCUGAUGGAGGGGGAUAACUACUGGAAACGGUAGCUAAUACCGCAUAACGUCGCAAGACCAAAGAGGGGGACCUUCGGGCCUCUUGCCAUCGGAUGUGCCCAGAUGGGAUUAGCUAGUAGGUGGGGUAAAGGCUCACCUAGGCGACGAUCCCUAGCUGGUCUGAGAGGAUGACCAGCCACACUGGAACUGAGACACGGUCCAGACUCCUACGGGAGGCAGCAGUA
Molecule: ribosomal RNA, 338 nt
Filed under: uncultured bacterium
Lineage: Bacteria
Description: bacterial SSU rRNA
Rfam family: Bacterial small subunit ribosomal RNA
Source: RNAcentral